AGAGUUUGAUCCUGGCUCAGGAUGAACGCUAGCGGGAGGCUUAACACAUGCAAGUCGAGGGGCAGCACGGUGUAGCAAUACACUGGUGGCGACCGGCGCACGGGUGAGUAACGCGUAUGUAACCUACCUUGUACAGGGGGAUAGCCCGGAGAAAUUCGGAUUAAUACCCCAUAACGAUAUCAGAUCGCAUGAUUUUUCAGAUAAAACUCCGGUGGUUACAGAUGGGCAUGCGUGACAUUAGCUAGUUGGUAAGGUAACGGCUUACCAAGGCUACGAUGUCUAGGGGUUCUGAGAGGAUGAUCCCCCACACUGGUACUGAGACACGGACCAGACUCCUACGGGAGGCAGCAGUGAGGAAUAUUGGUCAAUGGGCGCAAGCCUGAACCAGCCAUCCCGCGUGCAGGAUGACGGCCCUAUGGGUUGUAAACUGCUUUUAUACACCAAGAAAAAUCCCCACGUGUGGGGACCCGACGGUAGUGUAUGAAUAAGCAUCGGCUAACUCCGUGCCAGCAGCCGCGGUAAUACGGAGGAUGCAAGCGUUAUCCGGAUUCAUUGGGUUUAAAGGGUGCGUAGGCGGCUUUUUAAGUCAGUGGUGAAAUCCUGCCGCUUAACGGUAGAAUUGCCAUUGAUACUGAAAAGCUUGAGUACAUUUGAGGUAAGCGGAAUGUGUAGUGUAGCGGUGAAUGCUUAGAUAUUACACAGAACACCAAUUGCGAAGGCAGCUUACUAAACUGAUACUGACGCUGAUGCACGAAAGCGUGGGGAGCGAACAGGAUUAGAUACCCUGGUAGUCCACGCCGUAAACGAUGCUCACUCGCUGUUUGCGAUACACAGCAAGCGGCCAAGCGAAAGCAUUAAGUGAGCCACCUGGGGAGUACGAUCGCAAGGUUGAAACUCAAAGGAAUUGACGGGGGCCCGCACAAGCGGAGGAACAUGUGGUUUAAUUCGAUGAUACGCGAGGAACCUUACCUGGGCUUAAAUGUAGAGCGACAGAUUGUGAAAGCAGUCCUUCUUCGGGGACGAUCUACAAGGUGCUGCAUGGUUGUCGUCAGCUCGUGCCGUGAGGUGUCGGGUUAAGUCCCAUAACGAGCGCAACCCUUAUCGUUAGUUGCCAGCGGAUCAUGCCGGGGACUCUAGCGAGACUGCCGGUGCAAGGUGUGAGGAAGGUGGGGAUGACGUCAAAUCAGCACGGCCCUUAUGUCCAGGGCUACACACGUGUUACAAUGGCCGAUACAAAGGGCAGCUACCUGGUGACAGGAUGCUAAUCUCCAAAACCGGUCUCAGUUCGGAUCGAAGUCUGCAACUCGACUUCGUGAAGUUGGAUUCGCUAGUAAUCGUACAUCAGCAAUGGUACGGUGAAUACGUUCCCGGGCCUUGUACACACCGCCCGUCAAGCCAUGGGAGCUGGGGGGACCUGAAGUCCGUGACCGAAAGGAGCGGCCUAGGGUAAAACCAGUGACUGGGGCUAAGUCGUAACAAGGUAAC
RNAcentral lists this ribosomal RNA (1485 nucleotides) under uncultured bacterium. RNAcentral's name for it is "16S ribosomal RNA". It matches the Rfam family "Bacterial small subunit ribosomal RNA". The record is from RNAcentral.